RNAcentral lists this ribosomal RNA (253 nucleotides) under uncultured bacterium. RNAcentral describes it as "partial 16S ribosomal RNA". It matches the Rfam family "Bacterial small subunit ribosomal RNA", at positions 524 to 776 of the family's 1533-position model. RNAcentral also lists the same sequence under 1 other name. The record is from RNAcentral.
UACGGAGGAUGCAAGCGUUAUCCGGAUUCAUUGGGUUUAAAGGGUGCGUAGGCGGACUAUUAAGUCAGUGGUGAAAUCCUGCAGCUUAACUGCAGAACUGCCAUUGAUACUGAUAGUCUUGAGUUUGGUUAAGGUAGGCGGAAUGUGUAAUGUAGCGGUGAAAUGCUUAGAUAUUACACAGAACACCAAUUGCGUAGGCAGCUUACUGAGCCGACACUGACGCUGAGGCACGAAAGCGUGGGGAUCGAACAGG